Molecule: ribosomal RNA, 253 nt
Filed under: uncultured bacterium
Lineage: Bacteria
Description: partial 16S ribosomal RNA
Rfam family: Bacterial small subunit ribosomal RNA
Source: RNAcentral
UACAGAGGGUGCGAGCGUUAAUCGGAAUUACUGGGCGUAAAGCGCACGUAUGUGGCGACGUAAGUCGGGUGUGAAAGCCCCGGGCUCAACCUGGGAAUUGCAUUCGAGACUGCAUUGCUGGAGUACGGAAGAGGAGGGCGGAAUUCCCGGUGUAGCGGUGAAAUGCGUAGAUAUCGGGAGGAACAUCAGUGGCGAAGGCGGCCCUCUGGUCCAGUACUGACACUCAAGUGCGAAAGCGUGGGGAGCAAACAGG